CUGGAAGGGGGAAAGGCAGGAAAGGCGGCUGGGAUUGUAAGCAGCACGACCUACAACUCCCAGAAGCCUCUGCGGGAGGGCCCGGAACCAGCAGCCAAUCGGAGCCCGCUCUGUGGCACUAUAAAAGGUGCCCGCUGACCAACUUCCGCCUCUUUCGGACAUGGCGGCGAGCGGGGGACGACGCGAGGCUGCUGUCGGGGACCAUCCACCGCCAUCCUUCGUCGCUGGGGCUCUCCUGCCGCUCGGCUCCGCCAUAUCGGCGCCCUGUGGGCAUCGCGUCCAGCGCCCGCGCUUCCGUGCGCUUCGAAGGCUGCGAAGGGCAGCGCGGCCUUGCCCCCGCCCUCCUCCUCAGGCCGGGCCAAGCCCGGGCAUCAUCCUGGUAUAGAAGGUGGUCCUGGGGCAUGGGAUGGCUGGUGAUGGCCUCAGCUUUGGGCAGGCAUCCUGGGUGUUCCAGAGCUCACCAAAUCUGA
This 470-nucleotide long non-coding RNA is filed under the name Chloebia gouldiae (Gouldian finch). RNAcentral's name for it is "Erythrura gouldiae (Gouldian finch) lncRNA (ENSEGOG00005008139.1)". Lineage: Eukaryota; Metazoa; Chordata; Aves; Passeriformes; Passeridae. The record is from RNAcentral.